RNAcentral lists this non-coding RNA (393 nucleotides) under Schiffneriolejeunea tumida. RNAcentral's name for it is "partial tRNA-Leu". The stretch from base 1 to 314 matches the Rfam family "Group I catalytic intron". Rfam says of the family: Group I catalytic introns are large self-splicing ribozymes. They catalyse their own excision from mRNA, tRNA and rRNA precursors in a wide range of organisms. Lineage: Eukaryota; Viridiplantae; Streptophyta; Jungermanniopsida; Porellales; Lejeuneaceae. The record is from RNAcentral.
GGACUUAAAUUUUGAGCCUUAGUAGAGAAAUCUGCUAAGUGACUGUUUUCACAUUCAGGGAAACCUAAGUUUUGAAAUAUGAGGUAAUCCUGAGCCAAAUUUUAGUUAUGAAAUAGGUGCAGAGACUCGACGGAAACUAUCCUAACGAAAAAUUUUUUCUCUAUUUUUUUAUUACGAGUAUUGAUUCAGUACAGAGUACAGAAUAUUUUCGAAAUAAUAAAAACAUCUGAAUACUAAUAUUAUAUUCAUAUUAAUUUUUAAAUAAAUUAUAAUAGACGAGGAUAAAGAUAGAGUCCUUCUUUACAAUCUAUAUAAUUUUUAUUUAUAGAUAAUUGUAAAAAGAAAAUCCGUUGGCUUUAAUAGACCUUGAGGGUUCAAGUCCCUCUACCCCCA